GCUCCUUCACUCAGUCUAAUUACGAGCGAUUGUUUGGGCUGUGAUGUGAAGAAAUAUUAGAGAAUGGAAAAAAAGAACAGAGUUCAGAAUAUUGGGCUGGAACUGAUUCAUGUUUUGGCAAGGACUCUGAGCUCGAUUUUAUGCUUCAGCCUUGUGACGGUAUCCCAGGGAGCAACCUUGCCAUAUAAGCACAUGAAGCCCAAUUCUAUGGUUUAUUUUGAAAAGGUCCAAGCAAAAACAUUUGAAAAAUGCAGGAAUAACAUCAGCCAUCGGGUGAAGCUCUGUGUUAAUCAUGCACCGUGCCCUCCUCCGAAGGACCGAAGAUUGGUUAUGGAUUACUUGUGUCAACGCCAGCAAGAGUGUAAAGAACUACUGGUGAAAGCAGAUCAACAACGCUUCCCCAACGAGAAAGAACAACACGUGCUCAAAAAUAGAGUGGUCAGUGUGCAAGUCAGCUGCCCUCUUCCUCAGGAUUCCUUUGCUCACCUCCUUGGAGCAGUUAACAGCAGUUCGAUGACUGAGUCUCAUCCUCAGGUCAAUGGGGUUCGUGCACCAAGAGAUGAUGUGGGCGUUCAAGGUCCUGGAAGUUAAUUACAGUGCAAGGC
Molecule: long non-coding RNA, 605 nt
Filed under: Equus caballus (horse)
Lineage: Eukaryota; Metazoa; Chordata; Mammalia; Perissodactyla; Equidae
Description: lncRNA (ENSECAG00000056234.1)
Source: RNAcentral